UACUUGUGCUCUCCCGAUCUCAACAAUUAAAAUAUCUUAAUACCAAAAAUAUGCAACCAACUCCUAACCUAGUACUGGGUUAAUCUAUUUCAUAAUAGAAGCAAUAAUGCUAAUAUGAGUAA
This is a long non-coding RNA of Leopardus geoffroyi (Geoffroy's cat), 122 nucleotides long. RefSeq lists it as uncharacterized. The transcript is spliced from 3 exons. Lineage: Eukaryota; Metazoa; Chordata; Mammalia; Carnivora; Felidae. The record is from RefSeq and is a predicted model, not a curated record.